GGGUUGUGAGGUUAAGCGACUAAGCGUACACGGUGGAUGCCCUGGCAGUCAGAGGCGAUGAAGGACGUGCUAAUCUGCGAUAAGCGUCGGUGAGGUGAUAUGAACCGUUAUAACCGGCGAUUUCCGAAUGGGGAAACCCAGUGUGUUUCGACACACUAUCAUUAACUGAAUCCAUAGGUUAAUGAGGCGAACCGGGGGAACUGAAACAUCUAAGUACCCCGAGGAAAAGAAAUCAACCGAGAUUCCCCCAGUAGCGGCGAGCGAACGGGGAGGAGCCCAGAGCCUGAAUCAGUGUGUGUGUUAGUGGAAGCGUCUGGAAAGGCGUGCGAUACAGGGUGACAGCCCCGUACACAAAAAUGCACAUGCUGUGAGCUCGAUGAGUAGGGCGGGACACGUGGUAUCCUGUCUGAAUAUGGGGGGACCAUCCUCCAAGGCUAAAUACUCCUGACUGACCGAUAGUGAACCAGUACCGUGAGGGAAAGGCGAAAAGAACCCCGGCGAGGGGAGUGAAAAAGAACCUGAAACCGUGUACGUACAAGCAGUGGGAGCCUCUUAAUGGGGUGACUGCGUACCUUUUGUAUAAUGGGUCAGCGACUUAUAUUCUGUAGCAAGGUUAACCGAAUAGGGGAGCCGAAGGGAAACCGAGUCUUAACUGGGCGUUAAGUUGCAGGGUAUAGACCCGAAACCCGGUGAUCUAGCCAUGGGCAGGUUGAAGGUUGGGUAACACUAACUGGAGGACCGAACCGACUAAUGUUGAAAAAUUAGCGGAUGACUUGUGGCUGGGGGUGAAAGGCCAAUCAAACCGGGAGAUAGCUGGUUCUCCCCGAAAGCUAUUUAGGUAGCGCCUCGUGAAUUCAUCUCCGGGGGUAGAGCACUGUUUCGGCAAGGGGGUCAUCCCGACUUACCAACCCGAUGCAAACUGCGAAUACCGGAGAAUGUUAUCACGGGAGACACACGGCGGGUGCUAACGUCCGUCGUGAAGAGGGAAACAACCCAGACCGCCAGCUAAGGUCCCAAAGUCAUGGUUAAGUGGGAAACGAUGUGGGAAGGCCCAGACAGCCAGGAUGUUGGCUUAGAAGCAGCCAUCAUUUAAAGAAAGCGUAAUAGCUCACUGGUCGAGUCGGCCUGCGCGGAAGAUGUAACGGGGCUAAACCAUGCACCGAAGCUGCGGCAGCGACACUAUGUGUUGUUGGGUAGGGGAGCGUUCUGUAAGCCUGUGAAGGUGUGCUGUGAGGCAUGCUGGAGGUAUCAGAAGUGCGAAUGCUGACAUAAGUAACGAUAAAGCGGGUGAAAAGCCCGCUCGCCGGAAGACCAAGGGUUCCUGUCCAACGUUAAUCGGGGCAGGGUGAGUCGACCCCUAAGGCGAGGCCGAAAGGCGUAGUCGAUGGGAAACAGGUUAAUAUUCCUGUACUUGGUGUUACUGCGAAGGGGGGACG
RNAcentral lists this ribosomal RNA (1436 nucleotides) under Escherichia coli. RNAcentral's name for it is "partial 23S ribosomal RNA". It matches the Rfam family "Bacterial large subunit ribosomal RNA", at positions 1 to 1474 of the family's 2925-position model. Lineage: Bacteria; Pseudomonadati; Pseudomonadota; Gammaproteobacteria; Enterobacterales; Enterobacteriaceae. The record is from RNAcentral.